GACGAACGCUGGCGGCGUGCUUAACACAUGCAAGUCGAACGGAAAGGCCCUGCUUUUGUGGGGUGCUCGAGUGGCGAACGGGUGAGUAACACGUGAGUAACCUGCCCUUGACUUUGGGAUAACUUCAGGAAACUGGGGCUAAUACCGGAUAGGAGCUCCUGCUGCAUGGUGGGGGUUGGAAAGUUUCGGCGGUUGGGGAUGGACUCGCGGCUUAUCAGCUUGUUGGUGGGGUAGUGGCUUACCAAGGCUUUGACGGGUAGCCGGCCUGAGAGGGUGACCGGCGACAUUGGGACUGAGAUACGGCCCAGACGCCUACGGGAGGCAGCAGUGGGGAAUAUUGCACAAUGGGCGGAAGCCUGAUGCAGCAACGCCGCGUGCGGGAUGACGGCCUUCGGGUUGUAAACCGCUUUCGCCUGUGACGAAGCGUGAGUGACGGUAAUGGGUAAAGAAGCACCGGCUAACUACGUG
RNAcentral lists this ribosomal RNA (468 nucleotides) under uncultured bacterium. RNAcentral describes it as "partial 16S ribosomal RNA". It matches the Rfam family "Bacterial small subunit ribosomal RNA", at positions 28 to 507 of the family's 1533-position model. The record is from RNAcentral.